RNAcentral lists this ribosomal RNA (530 nucleotides) under uncultured Flavobacteriales bacterium. Its description in RNAcentral is "bacterial SSU rRNA". It matches the Rfam family "Bacterial small subunit ribosomal RNA", at positions 91 to 619 of the family's 1533-position model. The record is from RNAcentral. Lineage: Bacteria; Pseudomonadati; Bacteroidota; Flavobacteriia; Flavobacteriales.
GAGACCGGCGCACGGGUGCGUAACGCGUACGCAAUCUACCCUUUACUGGAGAAUAGCCCGGAGAAAUUCGGAUUAAUGCCCCAUAUGCUCGUAGGAUCUCCUGAUCCAGCGAGGAAAGCUCCGGCGGUAAGGGAUGAGCAUGCGUCCCAUUAGCUUGUUGGUGAGGUAACGGCUCACCAAGGCGACGAUGGGUAGGGGGCCUGAGAGGGCGAUCCCCCACACUGGUACUGAGACACGGACCAGACUCCUACGGGAGGCAGCAGUGAGGAAUAUUGGGCAAUGGAGGCAACUCUGACCCAGCCAUGCCGCGUGCAGGAAGACGGUCCUCUGGAUUGUAAACUGCUUUUAUUAGGGAAUAAACCCUCCUACGUGUAGGAGGCUGAAGGUACCUGAUGAAUAAGCAUCGGCUAACUCCGUGCCAGCAGCCGCGGUAAUACGGAGGAUGCAAGCGUUAUCCGGAUUUAUUGGGUUUAAAGGGUCCGUAGGCGGGUAUUUAAGUCAGUGGUGAAAGCCCACAGCUCAACUGUGGA